RNAcentral lists this ribosomal RNA (253 nucleotides) under uncultured bacterium. RNAcentral's name for it is "partial 16S ribosomal RNA". It matches the Rfam family "Bacterial small subunit ribosomal RNA", at positions 524 to 776 of the family's 1533-position model. The record is from RNAcentral.
UACGGAGGGUGCAAGCGUUGCUCGGAAUUACUGGGCGUAAAGGGUGCGCAGGCGGUGUGGUAAGACAGUUGUGAAAUCCCCGGGCUCAACCUGGGAACUGCAUCUGUGACUGCAUCGCUGGAGUGCGGCAGAGGGGGAUGGAAUUCCGCGUGUAGCAGUGAAAUGCGUAGAUAUGCGGAGGAACACCGAUGGCGAAGGCAAUCCCCUGGGCCUGCACUGACGCUCAUGCACGAAAGCGUGGGGAGCAAACAGG